Molecule: ribosomal RNA, 405 nt
Filed under: uncultured bacterium
Lineage: Bacteria
Description: bacterial SSU rRNA
Rfam family: Bacterial small subunit ribosomal RNA
Source: RNAcentral
CAGCAGCCGCGGUAAUACGGAGGAUGCGAGCGUUAUCCGGAUUCAUUGGGUUUAAAGGGUGCGUAGGCGGUUUUUUAAGUCAGUGGUGAAAUCCUGCGGCUCAACCGUAGAACUGCCAUUGAUACUGAGAAACUUGAAUAUAGUUGAGGUAGGCGGAAUGAGUAGUGUAGCGGUGAAAUGCUUAGAUAUUACUCAGAACACCGAUUGCGAAGGCAGCUUGCUAAGCUAUAAUUGACGCUGAUGCACGAAAGCGUGGGGAUCAAACAGGAUUAGAUACCCUGGUAGUCCACGCCGUAAACGAUGUUCACUCGCUGUUUGCGAUAUACAGUAAGCGGCCAAGCGAAAGCAUUAAGUGAACCACCUGGGGAGUACGUCGGCAACGGUGAAACUCAAAGGAAUUGACGG